This 8707-nucleotide unclassified non-coding RNA is filed under the name Bactrocera latifrons. Its description in RNAcentral is "dedicator of cytokinesis protein 9, transcript variant X1". Lineage: Eukaryota; Metazoa; Arthropoda; Insecta; Diptera; Tephritidae. The record is from RNAcentral.
AGUCAUAAAACGCGCGUCAGACCAUUCAGUUAAAUUAGAAAUUUAUGAGAGUUUAAUAGUUUUUUGUGCUGUGUCUGUUUAAAUAUAUUUUUGUGUGUGGGUGAAUCAAUGUUUGUAAUUUGAAUUGCAAUGCAAUAUGUGAAAGAUGAAUAAAAAGUAAACAAAAUCGGAAAUUGUAAACAAAUGUGCUAAAGCCAAAGUUUCUAGCUGUAAUUGAAAUAAAUUACGGUUAGCUCUGUGUUAGUUGCAAUAAGUAUUAAGAAUAUUUACGAUCGCAAAAUUUUGUGCUGAAUAUAAUUCUUUACGUCUCCGUAUAUAUUCGAAUAAUAUUUUGCAGUUAUUUUGGAAAUUGCGAAAAACGCAAAUUCUAUUAUUGUGCUGAGCAAAGCAAUUGUGUUUUGUGUAUAACAACGGAAAAGCCGCCUUAUGCUUGUGUGUGUGUGAUAUACAUAACUAUGUAGUGCAGCUAGUGGGCGGCUUGCUUUUUCCAGGCUGGUACAUUGUCCUUCAACAAUUUCGCGAAAUGUAAAGCCAUAUGUACAUACAUUGCAUAGUGUAGAUAUCAAUAAAUAAUUGUGAAAAGAGUUUACUAAACUUCAAAUAAGCGUGUAUUUUAAAGUGAUGGGAUUGCCGGUGUCGGUCCCACAGGAAUACCAGUGCGAUUACUCAUCGCGUUCGAUAAAACAACAAAAAAGUGACCGGGUGUCAUACUCACGCUAGACCCCUUUCGAUUGCCACAAAAUAUCUAUACAAACACACGUGCUCCGAUAUUCAUAUUUACGCAUACAUACAUAUGUGUAAAAUAAAUGUCUAAAGGAAGUAGCGGUGCUAUAUAAAAAUAUAUUUGUAUUCGCAAAGUUAAUGCUACUGAAAUAAAAAUAAAAGUAAAAAGAUACGUCAUACUCUACGUUGUAUUCGUAUCCCUGCAUUUGACAACGCAAAAACAACAUACGAAAAGUCACCAACUCGUUGGAGGCCGUGCUGACAUUCGGCGCAUAUUCGUACAUAUCUGCAUAAACAACCGUGUGUUUGCCAUCAUCUGUGUUCUUCCUUUCAACUUGUAUUCCAUCUGCCAAGAACUUGAGUUUUUUCCAUGUAUUUUCAUUUUGUUUAUGUGUAACUUGUUUUUAUAAGAAUUUAUAAACUGGUAUAAAUUCUUGUUGGAUUGUGUUCUUUUACGAGUUAUUUCAAACUUGGCCUUCGCUUUUGAUUUGUGGCCAAGAUGAGCGAACGCAAAUUCUCACGCGUCCUAAACAGCAACAAAGCCGGUAUGGCAGCACAGCUACGCGACUCCGUCUCGCAGGUGGUGCGGCAGAGCACAGCGCUGAACAAAUCUCACGUGGUGGAGCCUAUCGAUUUUGAGGGCUUUGUGGCGAAAAACAAAAUGCUAAUACAAAAUGAUCCACAACGAGAACUCUUGAUAUAUCCCAAUGACGAUGUGUCGGAAAUCGUCAUGCCUCGCAAACAGCGCACAAAUACCAAAUCAAUUAUCGAUCGUUUCGAACCGCCGAACGAAGCUAUCAUUUGCCCAUUACACGGUGGUACAAAUGGAAGCUCUAACGGCUCAACUAAUACUUCCAUUUCACGCCAGAGUAGUCAUACAAAUAGUCCCAAGACAACACAACGCCAAAUUAGCAGUCAAUCCAAUGCAAAUGUACAAAACGGUAAUCUCUCGAGAAAAAGCUCGCAGAGUUCAUCUACAAAAAUACAGCUAUCCAUCAAAUCACCAACUUCCUCACACGAAUCCUAUGAGUCUGCGCUUUCGACUGCAUGCUCGGCUGGUGGCAAUCUGACUUCCAACUCGCAUUCAUCCUCAUCGUCAACAUUGAAAUCGAAUAUACUCGCACAACCCGAAGAAGAUGAGGAUUUAGACGGUUCGGAUGGUGCGGAUGGCAUGAGUAGCAAUGGAAGUGGUGGCGGUACACGCGCCGAAUGUACGCGCUUCACACGUCAAGCAUUGUAUACAUAUCGUGCCAAGAAUCAUCUCAUACAUUACAAGUACAGCGCUUACGGUGGCACGUGCCAUGACUUGCCAAAAAUAAAUCCUCCUGAGGCUUUGAUAGAGGAAGUGUAUGAGAUUGAUGCCGAUCAGGAUCGUAUUGACGAGCAAAUGACACGAUCUCAAGCUGAUUCGAUAACCAAGCAGGGUUACUUGUUGAAGGGCCCCGACUCGGGUUCGGAUCGUAUGUUUGUCAACAUCGGCAAUAAAUCCUUUAAGAGGAGGUAUUGUUAUCUGCGCCAGGAAGUGGACGGCACCUACAUACUCGAAUUACACAAAGAUGAGAAGCAAGGUGAGGCUAAAGCAACAAUAGUCAUGGACUUUUGCACGGAAGUGGUGCAGAAUCCCAAACGCGGACGCUUUUGCUUCGAAUUACGCAUGACCGCUGGUCAUAAGUCCUUUACUCUCGCUGCCGAAAACGAAGAAGAAUUCAAGGAUUGGCUAAGCAAGCUCUCGCUGGUGUUGCAACAAAACAAGAUUCAAGAGGAUAAACGCGUUGCAUCAUUGGAGCGCACGCCGCAACCAAGCACCAGCACAGUCAUCUUCGGCACAUUAAAAGGCCUCGAUCAGUCCAUGAACCCGCAAUUGAUUAAGUACGGACGUGAAACGGACAUUUCAAUUGCCCAGGCGCGACGCGAACAGCGCCGACGUCUCUUUGCUUGCUACCAAACGACGGGUAAAGCAACAAGCACCGACAGCGUCGAUCAGUUUCGUGAGCAAUUCGGCAAACGCAUAUUUAUUGCCUGUAAAGGCUUGCGUUUUCGCCUGCAGUGCGCUGGCACAGACGGACUCGAUGGCGAGAACUUAUGCCAGGUGGAACCAUACAUCACCAGCUUGGCAUUGUAUGAUGCACGUAACGGACGUAAAUUAACCGAAUCAUUUUAUUUUGAUGUAAACGAUGACAGUGUUAGCGAUAUGCUGCCCACGACGCCAGUGCCAAAUUCCGUGUCGGCUUGUUGUGUGCCACAGCGACGCGGCGAUGAGAAGGAUGAGCGGGCGCGCAGCAAUGGCGUACGCGUACAGAACUCGUUGCUGGAGAAUCUCUCCGGAGAUUUGCUGCGUUGCGGCAAAGAACACUUCGUGCACUUGCGUCAGGCGGUAUUCUCAGUGACAGCGCCACAUCCAGAUAUCUACUUGGUGUUGAAGGUGGAGAAAAUACUGCAAGGUAGCAUAGUGCAAGCGGCCGAGCCGUACUUGAAGACUGGACGCGAUCCGAAAAUCGCAUUAAAAUUACACAAAACAGCGCGGAAUUACGCGCAAAACAUAGGACACUAUCGGCAGCCAUUCGCAUGGGCGGCCAAACCGCUCUUUCGUCUUUACCGCAACGAAUUGGAUACGGAGAAUAAUACAUUCGAAUUGACGACCAUCUACCGACAGGAGGCGAACAAGUUGAAAGAUGAGGAGCUAUUGAAAUUGCUGGCGGAAUAUCGAAAGCCUGAUAAACUGAGCAAACUCACAGUUAUACCAGGCUAUAUGAAGCUAACCAUUGAGGAGGUGGAGAAGGUGUCAGGUUCCUUUACUAAGUCUUUAGUGCCGCUAGCUAACUUCACAUUUCCACCCAAACCACCCACGCUCGAGCUGACUGAAUUCCAAAGCAAUUGCAAGCGCGACACCUAUCCCUACAUAACAUUCUGCAAUCACUUAUUUGUCUAUCCGCAGUAUUUGCAAUUCGAUAGUCAAAAGUUAUUUUCGCGCGCACGCAACAUUACCGUGGUGGUGGAGUUGCGCGACUCGGAUGAGGAGGGUAGCAAGCCAUUGAAGUGCAUUUACGGUCGCCCUGGUCAUGAUUUCCUAGUCUCGCAAAUUGCUUGCCCCGUGCUGCAUCACCACACCACACCCACUUGGUAUGAGGAGGUGAAAAUGCGUCUGCCAUUGGGGCUCUUCCCCGAACAUCACUUGCUCUUCUCCUUCUACCAUGUGUCGUGUAAUUUGGGCAAGAAGCGUGAUGCCAAUGCUGCGUUCGAAACACCCAUCGGUUAUGCUUGGUUGCCGUUGUUGCAGAAGGGUCGCAUUAAUCUGGAAGAGCAAGCUAUCGCUGUGGCGGCGUCUCUACCGGCAGGCUAUUUGUCGAUACAGCCACUGGGCCUGGGCAAAGGGCAGAAUUGCGGUCCCGAGAUACAAUGGAUCGACAAUCAGCGCUUACUCUUCGGCGUCGCCUUCCGCAUGGACUCAACCGUACUGACCGCCGAUCAGCAUUUGCAUAACUUUUUCGCACACUGCGAAAGACUAUUGGAGGGCGGCAAAACCACAGCGCUACCCGCAGAAUCGGAGACCUGUAAAAUACUCAAAGCGGCGCAUGCGGUUGAUAUCAGCACGCUGAUUAAUUUUUUGCCGACCGUAUUGAAUGAACUUUUCACACUACUCGUGCACAAACAGUCAGAGGAGAUCGGGUUGAAUAUCAUACGCCUACUGAUCAACAUCAUACACAUGCUGAUCGAUGAGGCCGGUCGCAAAGAACUACUCAGCGCCUAUGUUAAGUAUGUCUUUCAUGCGCCCUACUACAGUCAGAAGACGUCGCGUACGGUGCACGGUGAGCUGUGCAAAUAUCUGCCGACCAUUUUGCAUCCGCACAAUACUGAUUUUUUGAUCGUCAAUAAGUUCAUGCAUUAUUCGGGUAUAUUCUUCGAUUUGAUUAUUAAAAGUAUGGCACAACACCUAUUGGAUACCGGGCGUAUACGUAUGCUGCGGAAUGAACGAUUUCCCAAAGAAUUUCCAGCGCGUGUUGAGAGUUUGAUCAAGGUGCUGACUUCAUAUCUGAUCUCGCGCUACAAAGAUCUGCCUGUAGAGACGCAACAGUUGAAUCGUUCGUUGUCACAAUUCGUGCGUCGCUGCCUCAGUUACAUGGAUCGUGGUUUCGUCUUCAAAUUAAUCAAAUAUUAUAUGGAACAAUUUGAGCCGGGCGAUCAGCGUACGCUGCAAGAGUUUAAGUUUGACUUUCUGGCUGAGAUUUGUCAGCACGAGCAUUAUGUGCCGCUAAAUUUGCCAUUCGUGUUGAAUCCGAAGAAUCGUCCACCGGAAAUGAUGCUGCACUUUACACUUUCUGACGAGUUCUGUCGCCAACACUUUCUUGCCGGUUUACUGUUGCAACAGUUGAAACAAAGUCUGAACGAAGCGAGCGCGGUGCGACGGCAUGCGCUGCGCAUCUUCAAAAAUCUGCUCGCCAAGCAUGAACUCGACGAUCGCUAUCAGAAUCGUGGACAACUUUCACGCAUAGCGCUGAUCUAUGUGCCCUGGUUGGGUAUUGUCAUAGAAAACACACAUCGCAUCGAUGAUAUGUCUGGCGUAGUAACGCCAAAUGGUCACGUUUACGCCGAUUCGGCUUCGUAUACACAGCGUUUGUCAUGUUCCAGCAGUUAUGUAUUUGGAAAAGACACAGCCUUGAAUUCGUCAACGUCUACGCCGCGUUCAAAAAAUCGCAUAACACUGCAUAUUGAACAUCCGAGCCCACUGCGGGCUUCCGUGUAUGUGAGAGAUGCGGGGCACCCAGGCACAGCGCCGCUCGCAAAUGGUAACUCGGAGAGUUCGCUGAAUACGCUCAAUUCCGAUUCGCAAAAUUCACAAGACACACCCACCUUAGGCGCCGUCACAAAUGGACACCAUGUUACCGAUUUGACGGACGUUGCCAUGCGUAAUGGUCACAACCGCUCGCUUAAUCUUAUGCACGGUUUAAAUAGUUUACCGCGUUGCGAUAAAUUCAAUACGGCGGAGAGUAAAGAUCUCUUGCUUGGUUUUCUGUUUGUGGUCAAGCAUUUAGCGCAAGAUCAAAUGAUCGGCUGGUGGCAGAAUUGUACCGAAACUGAAACGCUGGCCUAUCUCAGCAUAUUGGAUUUGUGUCUGGUGCAAUUCCGCUACGUGGGCAAAAAGCAUAUCAAUUUAACGGAUGAUGGUAAGGAGGCGCGUGCGGCGCGCACCGCAAAGGCUAGUACAUUACCUGCGCGCAUGCAGCCUCCCAGCGCGGAGCAAGCCGCUAAUGGUAAUGGCACAGCUCACGAAUCCGGUACACUUAAUCAUACGCAGAAUCGUGAAAAUCUGGUUGAAGAGACAGCGCGCAGUCAACAGGCGCUUUACGAGUCUAACUUGGCCACUGAAAUUGGCAUGAUCAUACUCGAUAGUCUCGGCUUGUAUGCCGUGCAUUUUCGUGACAAAUUGUGUGACAGUCUAGUGUUGCCACAGCUGGCGCGCGUCUAUCUGCGUUUCCUGCAGCUGGGGCAGUCGGAAAGAUUGUCGAAACAUGUGUUUGCCGCACUGCGCGCUUUCAUUAACAAUUUCUCAAUAGCGCUUUUCAAAGGCAAUGCCACGUUAUGCGGUCAAAUGGUCUAUGAGCUCUUAAAGGGUUGCGACAGUCGUCUAGUCGCAAUACGCCACGAGUCAUGCGCAGUGCUCUACCUGCUGAUGCGCAGCAACUUUGAAUAUACCGGCCGCAAAGGACUCACACGGGUGCAUCUGCAAGUGAUCAUCUCCGUUUCACAGAUGAUAGGCAAUGUGAUCGGUUUGAAUAACGCGCGCUUCCAAGAGAGUCUCUCCAUGAUUAACAGUUACGCGAAUAGCGAUAAAGCAAUGAAGGGCACCGGUUUCCCAAUGGAGGUUAAAGAUCUAACGCGUCGCGUGCGCACCGUGCUGAUGGCCACCGCACAAAUGCAAGCCCAUCACAUGGAUCCUGAACGCUUGCUCGAGUUACAGUAUUCACUAGCAAACUCUUAUGCUUCCACACCCGAACUGCGCCACACCUGGCUUAUAACGAUGGCGCGCAAUCACGAGCAGAAUGCUAACAUAUCGGAGGCGGCUUGCUGUCACCUACACAUCGCUGCGCUCAUGUCAGAGUAUUUACGCUUACGCGGUGGCUGCAACAUCAACUGGGGCGCCUCAUCCUUCAAGCAGAUAUCACGAAAUAUACCGCGAGACGAGCAAGGUUUGAAAUUGGAUGCAGGCGCUCAGGAUUCGCAAUACACCGAACAGAUGUUGUUGGACCAGCUGAAGCAGUGCGCUGAUUUUCUCGAUCGUGCUGAACGCUUCGAAUGCUUGGGUGAUCUAUAUAAACUCAUAUUACCGAUGUAUGAGCGUAAUCGUUCGUAUAUCGAGUUGGCGCAAUCGUAUGAGCAUCUCAUGCAAGCUUAUAAUAAAAUCGUCGAAGUGAAUCGUUCCGGCAAACGCAUGUUGGGUCGUUUCUAUCGUGUCGUGUUUUUCGGCAUGAUGUACUUUGAAGAUGAUCAUGCAGUUGAGUUUGUUUACAAGGAACCGAAACUAACCUCACUUAGCGAGAUUUCAGAGCGGCUCUCGAAACAAUACAAAGAGAAAUUCGGCGAGGAUGUGGUCAAGAUGAUAAUGGAUUCAUCGCCGGUGGAUGCUAAUGCGCUCGAUGCCAAAUUGGCCUACAUCCAAGUCACCCACGUCAUACCAUUCUUCAGCAAAGAAGAGCUCGAUCAGCGCCUAAACGAAUUCGAACAAAAUCACGAUGUCGACACUUUUAUGUACGAAACACCAUUCACGAAAUCCGGUGCAGCGCGUGGCAGCGUCGAAGAGCAAUGGAAACGCAAAACAGUCAUCAAAACUACCUACUCCUUCCCCUAUGUGCUGAAACGUAUACCGGUAAAGUCACGCGAAAUCAUCGAGCUGAGCCCCAUAGAGGUGGCGAUCGAUGAAAUGCAAACGAAGGUUUCAGAACUCGAAGAGGUCAUACUGCCGCCAGCCGAUGUUAAGAAGCUGCAGUUGCGGCUGCAAGGCAGCGUCGCCGUCACCGUCAAUGCCGGUCCACUCGCCUAUGCACAAGCUUUUUUGGAUCCCAAAAUAGUGAGCAAUUUCUCCAUAGAUCGCGUCGAAGAUUUGAAGGACAUUUUCAGAGACUUCGUUAAGGUCUGCAAUACGGCGCUGCAGUUGAACGCGCGCAUGAUCAGCAACGAUCAAGCCGAGUAUCACAAUGCGCUGGCCGAAAAUUAUCGCAAACUGUGUCAGGCGCUCAGCGAGCUACUCGGUGAGCCGUUUCAACCUUUGGAUGAUAGCGUCACGAGCGGGCAACACAAUAGCAUGGCUUUGUUUAAUGCAAUCAGUGGCGCUUCGCAAAACUCAAGUACUGCCUAAAAUUUGCUAAAUACAAAUUAAAAACAAAAACUACGCACACAAAUGCACACACCUUCACAUACAUACACACAUAUAUUCACAAUACGAAUGUUGUGUAUUAGUAAAUUUUAGUUAAAAAAAUCUAUAGCAAAGCUAACUUGACUAGAAUUUCGAUAUUUUAAGCAACUAACCUAACUAAAAUUAAUCAAAAAUUAAAAAAAAAAACUAAAAAAUAAUAAUAACCAUUAGUAAUAAAUAAAAAGCUGUGUGUGUGCUCUCUAUAUGAGUUCUGCGGCUUUAUAACACUCAUUCAGGUGUUUGGUGCACGUUAUAAACGUAUGUAUGUAUGCUACAAACAGCUGAUUGAUCGCUUGAUUUAUGGCAACCAAGUUUAGACUUUAUCACGCCAAUGCAAUGGUUUUUCUCUGUGCUUUGGGACCGUCGGCUAAUGCUUUUGGUUUUGCAGUGUAUUAAUUUAUAAUAAAAGCCACACAGUCACAAGUAAUGCAAUAAUAAGCAACAAACACCCAUACAAUUACACCAACACAAUUAGGAGUAAAAAAAUAAUGCGACUUAAUGAAUUUACAACAGCAAUAACAUAAUUGACACGCAUAUGUAGAACAUAAGUAAACUGCAUAUGUAAGCCAAACACAA